CUUUAACCAGUUGGCAGCCUUCCUAACCCCCUGAGCUAUUGCAAGGAAGUAGAAACAGAAUAUAUCGCUCCCUCUGGUCAGCCUCGUAGGAGAUCAGUCAUGGAAUCCCGUCUGCUCGGCUCGGCUCACCGGUUUCCCUCUUCUCCUCCCCCUGCAGGCUUCACCUGCCCUGGGGAACAGGCUGUGUACCAGCAACGCCGUCUUCACAAUGAGUCACGAUUUCUGCACCGAGAGAAAGUGGAGGUAGACGACACUGUCCAGUAUCUUCCUUGACUUGACACCUGCUUAAGGCAGAAGACAGGAAGCAAGGCUGCCGGUGUUCUUAACAUGCUGAUUCACAGAGUGAGUGCAAAUCAGACUGAGUCUCUGCCAAGUCCCAGGAGGAAUUAUUAGACAAGAGUGGAGAGCAUGAGACACCCGCGCUCCCUGGUUAACAGUAGCGGACAUUUGCUAUUCACAGCAAUCGUCACCCUCACCUGCUAGUGGAACCACACACCCACUUGUAUAUUGUAAGAUUUGUGGAUCAGAACACGGUUAUGGUGUGGAUUAUACUGCCCCUGUACGGACUGUGUAACCUUGUGAGAAUUGGCUGUCACGACCCGGGAGAGUACAGAACACAUCUCAGCCGCCCUCGAAAUGCGUAAGCGAAGGCACAGCCCAAAAGGCUGUGGGCAAAUCAUCAGGUGAAAAGAAAACAUAACUCUCUUUCAUCAGGAAGACUGGUCAGGCUCUCCUUUUCAAAGUGUGAUAUGUAAAACUAAAGGGAUGUUACUGGAAGAGAGAGGAAGAUAGAGGUAUUCAAUAUAAGGAUUGCACAGUCCCCAUCCUGUAACACCUCCCUAGUCUUCCUGUCGCAGAAGAGAUGUGUUUUUGGUCUCUGCCCCGCAGUAGAGAUGCUCCC
Molecule: long non-coding RNA, 901 nt
Filed under: Mustela putorius furo (domestic ferret)
Lineage: Eukaryota; Metazoa; Chordata; Mammalia; Carnivora; Mustelidae
Description: lncRNA (ENSMPUG00000030407.1)
Source: RNAcentral